This 504-nucleotide ribosomal RNA is filed under the name uncultured bacterium. RNAcentral's name for it is "bacterial SSU rRNA". It matches the Rfam family "Bacterial small subunit ribosomal RNA", at positions 36 to 518 of the family's 1533-position model. The record is from RNAcentral.
CUGGCGGCGUGCUUAACACAUGCAAGUCGAACGCGAAAGGGACUUCGGUCCUGAGUAAAGUGGCGCACGGGUGAGUAACGCGUAGAUAACCUGUCUUCAUGUCUGGAAUAAUACGCCGAAAGGGGUACUAAUACCGGAUAUUCUUUGCUUUUCAUAAGUUAUGCAAGCAAAGGUGGCCUCUGCAUAUGCUACUGCAUGAAGAGGGGUCUGCGUACCAUUAGCUAGUAGGUGGGGUAAUGGCCUACCUAGGCGACGAUGGUUAGCGGGUCUGAGAGGAUGAUCCGCCACACUGGCACUGGAACACGGGCCAGACUCCUACGGGAGGCAGCAGUGAGGAAUAUUGCGCAAUGGGGGAAACCCUGACGCAGCGACGCCGCGUGAGUGAGGAAAGGCCUUCGGGUCGUAAAGCUCUGUCAAGAGGAAAGAAGUGUACAAUGGCUAAUACCUGUUGUAUUUGACGGUACCUCUAAAGGAAGCACCGGCUAACUCCGUGCCAGCAGCAGC